CCUACGGGAGGCAGCAGUGGGGAAUAUUGCACAAUGGGGGAAACCCUGAUGCAGCGACGCCGCGUGAGUGAAGAAGUAAUUCGUUAUGUAAAGCUCUAUCAGCAGGGAAGAAAAUGACGGUACCUGAGUAAGAAGCCCCGGCUAACUACGUGCCAGCAGCCGCGGUAAUACGUAGGGGGCAAGCGUUAUCCGGAUUUACUGGGUGUAAAGGGAGCGUAGACGGCAGUGCAAGUCUGGAGUGAAAGGCGGGGGCUCAACCCCCGGACUGCUCUUGAAACUGUACGGCUGGAGUGCAGGAGAGGUAAGUGGAAUUCCUAGUGUAGCGGUGAAAUGCGUAGAUAUUAGGAGGAACACCAGUGGCGAAGGCGGCUUACUAGACUGUAACUGACGUUGAGGCUCGAAAGCGUGGGGAGCGAACAGGAUUAGAUACCCUAGUAGUC
This 440-nucleotide ribosomal RNA is filed under the name uncultured bacterium. RNAcentral's name for it is "partial 16S ribosomal RNA". It matches the Rfam family "Bacterial small subunit ribosomal RNA", at positions 338 to 795 of the family's 1533-position model. The record is from RNAcentral.